This 29-nucleotide non-coding RNA is filed under the name Mus musculus (house mouse). The record is from RNAcentral. Lineage: Eukaryota; Metazoa; Chordata; Mammalia; Rodentia; Muridae.
UGGAUCAGUGGUGCCAAAUACUUCCUUGU